UUGCCGUGAUGACCAUCUUAGGACACCUUUGGAUUAACCAUGAAAACAAACUGUGUUCUGAGCAAC
Molecule: small nucleolar RNA, 66 nt
Organism: Suricata suricatta (meerkat)
Lineage: Eukaryota; Metazoa; Chordata; Mammalia; Carnivora; Herpestidae
Gene: SNORD58
Rfam family: Small nucleolar RNA SNORD58
About the family: snoRNA U58 is found in introns 1, 3 and 6 of the ribosomal protein RPL17 gene in humans.
Source: Ensembl